This 1047-nucleotide long non-coding RNA is filed under the name Homo sapiens (human). RNAcentral's name for it is "PREDICTED lncRNA (TCONS_00182071)". Lineage: Eukaryota; Metazoa; Chordata; Mammalia; Primates; Hominidae. The record is from RNAcentral.
UUGGUAGAUAAGUAUUUAAUAGUCAGUGCAACUCCAGACAGUUAAGGUCAUCUAUAUCAAAAUGGAGAUUACUUCUAGUAUCUUGUUGAAGUUGCAUGUGUCGACAUUCAAAACAAAUGACAGAUAAUAUCCAAAGAUUUUACCAAGAGGCUUUUGAUAUAAGUAAGAAAGGGAUGAAACUGUUACACUUAAUCUGCCUGGGGCUGGCUUUUAACAUUUCUAUAUUUUACUGUGAGAUCCUUAAUAACCCAGAGCUUUCCUGCACCUUGGUUAAUAUAACUUUUGAUAAGCCCAUCACAGAAUUUCACACACUGAAUAAAGAUUUAUAUAAAGACAGCAUCCUUAUCAUGAAGUUGCUUAGAGACAACCUAAUCUUAUGGACAUCAGACAGUGCAGGGAGGAACAUGAUGUGGCGUAAGGGCAGAAAACUAAAUGCAUACAGGUGUCAUCCUUUUCCUCCUAACACAACCCUUUUACACUCUCCAUUUCUUAUGCAACUUGGAUUUCCUGUAACGACAACAAUAAAACCCAUUCCGUAUGGAAUCAAUUGUUUAUAGUCUUUUCACACUGUAGUUCUGGGAAAACUUCGCUGCUUGAUUUGUGUUUGUUUUGGUUUGCCUGGUGUGCAGAGAGGCAUUCAAAUCUUCAUUUCAUAUAAAUAGAAGUAAUUUCCAAAUACUUAUGUAUAAGUCUAAAAUGUAUGUAGUAUUUAAACAAUCUGAAUCCAUUCUGCAAGUAGCAGUUUAUUGUAUUACUAUGAAGAUAUGAAAACAUACUUAAUUACAAUUGAGUGUUCUUACAUAACUUUUUAAUUUCUACAUUCCCUCCCUAUUCUUUUUCGGGAGUUUUCUUUCAAUAAACAACAUUUUCAUGUUUUUAAUGUAUUUCUUUUUUAACAGGUAAACAGGUGAAUUAGGUUGAAUGAAAAAGUAUUUAAUAUUUCUAAAUUAAGGGUCACAUAUUAAAAAUGCCUACUAUAUAGCAUAUUAUGAAGGUCAUCUAUAUUUGUGACAACAGGAAGUUUCCUUAUUCACUCUUCAUUUGCAG